Molecule: long non-coding RNA, 300 nt
Organism: Hyla sarda
Lineage: Eukaryota; Metazoa; Chordata; Amphibia; Anura; Hylidae
Exons: 3
Source: RefSeq, a predicted model, not a curated record
UAGAAACACAGGCUUCGCAGUGCUCUCUCCUCCCCCGAGCGGUGUGCGCAUUUUCAGGGCAGAUAUGCUUUGGGGCCCCCUUAGGCACCUGAGCCCUGAUGCGACUACUACCUCUGCACCCCCUAUAGCUACGCUCCUGAUUUUAAGCCCAGGACCGCUUAUACAGGUGAGACUUAUACAUGGGAGGGGUGAUGUUUUAAUUUGUGAGUCAGAGGAAGUGCCUACUGCGUGAAACAAUUGUCGCUCCAACUAAUGCAUAUGUACUCCUGCACUUGUUCGAAAAUGAGGGAAUAAAUGCAG